RNAcentral lists this ribosomal RNA (253 nucleotides) under uncultured bacterium. RNAcentral describes it as "partial 16S ribosomal RNA". It matches the Rfam family "Archaeal small subunit ribosomal RNA", at positions 474 to 727 of the family's 1478-position model. The record is from RNAcentral.
UACCAGCACCCCGAGUGGUCGGGACGUUUAUUGGGCCUAAAGCAUCCGUAGCCGGUUCUACGAGUCUUCCGUUAAAUCCAACUGCUUAACAGGUGGGCUGCGGAAGAUACUAUAGAGCUAGGAGGCGGGAGAGGCAAGCGGUACUCGAUGGGUAGGGGUAAAAUCCGUUGAUCCAUUGAAGACCACCAGUGGCGAAGGCGGCGAUCUGGGAAGAUACUGACGCUGAGGUGCGAAAGCGUGGGGAGCAAACAGG